GGGAUCUUAACCCACUGAGCCACAACAGGAACUGCAAGUAGGAUCUUUUUAAUGCUCUCCCUCCCUUGCUGGGACUUGAACAUUAGAUCAAAUACUCGGAGGAGGACUGAGGACGUCCCACUUUUCACGUUAAGUAUGCGGAAGUGGGGGAUACGGGGGUGUAACACCUUCCCCAAGAACAGGUGGUGGGGUGUGGUCCUGGGACGGACAGUCCUGCCAGUUUGGGCACAAACCCACACUCUGCUUGUCCCAGAGGCGGAGAAAGAGGCUCCUCCCUCAGGGGGCUCACCUGGAGGGGAGCUCAGCCUCACCUGAGCAUUGGAGCAUCUGCUGGAAGCGCGGCCCUGCCUCUGUCUCCUGAGCGGGAAGCCGGGAGAGGAGGGGACAAGCUCUUCCCCUUUGUGUGAGGCGCUGAGUGUGGAAACCCCAAGUUGGGCCCCCGGGCAGCACAUCCUCUUCUCUUGUGUCAUCAGGCAGGCUCUGUCCUUCCCCCAUAAUCUCUCCAGGACGGGCACCGGCUGCAGGGGCUGGGCCAUGGCCCCCCAUCCCACCACCCUCCUGUGCUUCGCGCUCUGUCUGGGCCAGACGAUCCGCACGUGCCGAGGUGAGUCUUCUCCCUGCCCCCCAAAGGCUGAGCCCGACGACAGCGUGUGCCCACCCUGGGGGCGGGGGGGCACCUGGCAGCUGACAUAGUACCGGAAUUGCCAGCAACCCCCAGGCCUAAGCCGCCCCGUCUCUCCCUCGCUGUCCACGCUGCUCUCAGGGCCCCGCAGAGACGGUUCAGAUCCCGCAGGACCAGGCUGAGCCCGCGAGCCCAGAUCUCCCUCUGCAUCCCCUGCGCGGAGGGCGCGACCUCACCCAGGGCAGAACCCGACCGACCGGGAGUCCUCCCGGGUCCCGCUUCUCCAGCCCCCCACUCACAGCGCAUCACCCGGUGCUGGGUUUUGCAUGAUAAUUCUUAGGGUCGAAUGACUGCGUUCAGCGGUUUCUGUUUUCAGGAAAAUGUCCAUUUUGCUGAGCGCCCUCUCACAGCUGACCUUGGAUAGACUGAGCCGCGUGCGCCCCUCUUGGGUCCGGGUCUGCCCGUCCCCAGCCCCGCUGGCUCAGAGGUCUCCUCGCUUUUCUUUCUCUCUCGCGUGGCUCCUUCCCCCUCAUCUCUGGACCUGGACCCGGUGUUUGUGCCCUGCCUGCCCCACGUGCCCACCCCCAGCCUGGGUGAUUCCUGCUGGACCUCAGCUCUCAGCUGGGGACCCGCGCCCUCCGACCUCCCCGGGGAGGCAGCUCUGCCUCCCGUCUGCCCCUGGGGUUCCCACACGCGCCCGAGGGCACAGGCCACAGUCUGGACACGGGGAUUUGCACAAUGAUUCAUCAACGUCCGUCCUCCCUCGAGACUUUCAGCCCCGCGAAGAAGGCAGGGAUCGCGUGUGUGUCUCACGGUUGUGGAACCAGGGGUACACGGAAGUAUCUGUAAAGGGGCAGAGGGGACCUAAGACGGGGUGGAAGGACACAAAGAGCCAGUGGAGGAGUGAGUGAGCCCUGCCAGCGCCCUGCCUCUAGGGGCGUCUUGCUGAAGGGGAGACCAGCUUCCCCUUUCAGGGCAGCAAGCCCUCUCCCCUGCCC
This 1620-nucleotide long non-coding RNA is filed under the name Sus scrofa (pig). RNAcentral's name for it is "lncRNA (ENSSSCG00050044720.1)". The record is from RNAcentral. Lineage: Eukaryota; Metazoa; Chordata; Mammalia; Artiodactyla; Suidae.